UGCAGUCAGCAUUUACAGUGAAGGAAUGCCCAGAGGAAGACCCUCACACAUGCUGCUCAUUGUCCCUGUGUUUUGUGUUCACAACUAAUGCCAUGCUCUCAGAGACAAGAAAAAGGGAAUAAAUUCACGGUUCACACAAUAUCCCUCCAAGACACUUAGAAAAAGUAAGACAGAUUUCAGAGUUAACCCAGACUGCAGAUUCCAACAUCCUGUGAUCACACCCGAGUCGAGACCCCCACCCCCUCCUCUGAUGCACCUGUGUUCUUCACUGAAAUACAGGGAGUAC
This 286-nucleotide long non-coding RNA is filed under the name Fukomys damarensis (Damara mole-rat). RNAcentral's name for it is "lncRNA (ENSFDAG00000022140.1)". Lineage: Eukaryota; Metazoa; Chordata; Mammalia; Rodentia; Bathyergidae. The record is from RNAcentral.